Molecule: ribosomal RNA, 512 nt
Filed under: Priestia megaterium
Lineage: Bacteria; Bacillati; Bacillota; Bacilli; Caryophanales; Bacillaceae
Description: bacterial SSU rRNA
Rfam family: Bacterial small subunit ribosomal RNA
Source: RNAcentral
CCUGAAGCUCGAGUCUGACGGAGCACGCCGCGUGAGUGAUGAAGGCUUUCGGGUCGUAAAACUCUGUUGUUAGGGAAGAACAAGUACAAGAGUAACUGCUUGUACCUUGACGGUACCUAACCAGAAAGCCACGGCUAACUACGUGCCAGCAGCCGCGGUAAUACGUAGGUGGCAAGCGUUAUCCGGAAUUAUUGGGCGUAAAGCGCGCGCAGGCGGUUUCUUAAGUCUGAUGUGAAAGCCCACGGCUCAACCGUGGAGGGUCAUUGGAAACUGGGGAACUUGAGUGCAGAAGAGAAAAGCGGAAUUCCACGUGUAGCGGUGAAAUGCGUAGAGAUGUGGAGGAACACCAGUGGCGAAGGCGGCUUUUUGGUCUGUAACUGACGCUGAGGCGCGAAAGCGUGGGGAGCAAACAGGAUUAGAUACCCUGGUAGUCCACGCCGUAAACGAUGAGUGCUAAGUGUUAGAGGGUUUCCGCCCUUUAGUGCUGCAGCUAACGCAUUAAGCACUCGCCC